AGAAUGAUUUCAUGAUUAUUUUACUAUUAAAAAUUAUUUUUGGAUUAUAAAUUUUAUAAAAUUAUCUAGUAUCUUAUUUAUACAUGAUUUAAAAAAAAAUAUGAUUUAAGAAUACUUAUCUUAAGAAAUAUGGCAAAAGACUCUUAGAUAGCUAUAUAUAGCUUUGCUAGUGGAUAAUAGUAAUUGGUAUAUGAUCUUGCCAGUGGAUAAUAGUAAUUGGCAUAUGACCCUGCUAGUAGAUAAUAGUAAUUGACACACGAUCCUGCCAAUAGAUAAUAAUAGUUGGUAUACGAUCUUGCCAACGGAUAAUAGUAGCUGGUAUAUGAUUAUGAUCUUAUCACGAGUAUAAUAGUGAUUAGCAUUUAGUUUAAGCUAAUUAUUAAGAAGCAUGAUAUGACAAAAAGAUAAAUGAUUUAUAAUUUUAUUAAUAAAGUUAACAUGAUUUAUAAAUUUAUAAUUGAUGGUAAAAUGACAUUAGAAACUAUAUUUAUCAAAAUUGCAUGAUUUAUGCAUGUGCAAGAAUAUAAUUAUGGAAGUUUUAUAUUCCAAUGAUCAUCAUCUGCUUUAAGUGAUUUAUUGAUGCACGUAUAAACUUAUGUUUGAUCUGGAUAAGAUAGUAUAAGGUUUACUUAUUGAGCUGGUGUAGCUCAUAUUCUUUUUUUUUUCUAUGUAGACAAAUAAGGUUAGGAAGGAAGGA
Molecule: long non-coding RNA, 697 nt
Filed under: Elaeis guineensis (African oil palm)
Lineage: Eukaryota; Viridiplantae; Streptophyta; Magnoliopsida; Arecales; Arecaceae
Description: long non-coding RNA (EGUI_LNC012538)
Source: RNAcentral